RNAcentral lists this ribosomal RNA (253 nucleotides) under uncultured bacterium. Its description in RNAcentral is "partial 16S ribosomal RNA". It matches the Rfam family "Bacterial small subunit ribosomal RNA", at positions 524 to 776 of the family's 1533-position model. The record is from RNAcentral.
UACGUAGGGUGCAAGCGUUGUCCGGAAUUAUUGGGCGUAAAGCGCACGUAGGCGGCGAUUCAAGUCAGAGGUGAAAGCCCGGGGCUCAACCCCGGAACUGCCUUUGAAACUAGAUCGCUAGAAUCUUGGAGAGGUCAGUGGAAUUCCGAGUGUAGAGGUGAAAUUCGUAGAUAUUCGGAAGAACACCAGUGGCGAAGGCGACUGACUGGACAAGUAUUGACGCUGAGGUGCGAAAGCGUGGGGAGCAAACAGG